RNAcentral lists this ribosomal RNA (497 nucleotides) under uncultured bacterium. Its description in RNAcentral is "partial 16S ribosomal RNA". It matches the Rfam family "Bacterial small subunit ribosomal RNA", at positions 28 to 507 of the family's 1533-position model. The record is from RNAcentral.
GAUGAACGCUGGCGGCGUGCCUAAUACAUGCAAGUCGAGCGAACAGACGAGGAGCUUGCUCCUCUGACGUUAGCGGCGGACGGGUGAGUAACACGUGGAUAACCUACCUAUAAGACUGGGAUAACUUCGGGAAACCGGAGCUAAUACCGGAUAAUAUAUUGAACCGCACGGUUCAAUAGUGAAAGACGGUUUUGCUGUCACUUAUAGAUGGAUCCGCGCCGCAUUAGCCAGUUGGUAAGGUAACGGCUUACCAAGGCAACGAUGCGUAGCCGACCUGAGAGGGUGAUCGGCCACACUGGAACUGAGACACGGUCCAGACUCCUACGGGAGGCAGCAGUAGGGAAUCUUCCGCAAUGGGCGAAAGCCUGACGGAGCAACGCCGCGUGAGUGAUGAAGGUCUUCGGAUCGUAAAACUCUGUUAUUAGGGAAGAACAAAUGUGUAAGUAACUAUGCACGUCUUGACGGUACCUAAUCAGAAAGCCACGGCUAACUACGUG